UCUUCACCCGGAAUCAUGUCAUAUCUCAUCAAUCUCAUCGGGGGAAGCUUCAUCUCGUUGAUAACCCUUUCCGUGCACUGGCGGCUCCAUCUAACGGAUAGCCCUCUCCUCCCGGAAUCAAACUAGCUAGGUGCACCUAGGCCGUUACCUCCGUUAACGGCUACGGGGUUCUAUCAAGGAUCCCCAAAAUCGUUUUCUCAAACCAGUUCAAGUCUCGUCAAAAGUCUCAUAAUCAACUUUCCAAGUUCACAAUCUCAGUUUCACAUAAUUUCCAAAAUCAAAGCAAUAUAAAUUACUUUCUCAUGUCAGUUCAUAAUCAGAAUCAAAUAAACUUCAUAAAAUCAGCUUUCAGAGUUCAAGAAUGAUAGUCAAACAUAUAAAAACAUGUUUCCCCAAUUUAGAUAAAUAGACAAUAUAAUAAAGUAAUUAAAUCAGUUAUAAGACUGUUAAAAAUAUGGCAUAGCAGUUGAAAACCACUCACAACUACGACGAAUCAACGCAAUUGAUUUCAACAGUCCCACGACCACUGAACGACCUACUCGUCGUUGAAUCUGAACACAAAAAUUAACUUCAAACCUUUAGCAUACUAGAGGUGUAUAAUUCUGCUUAAUUCUAACAUGCUAUAAUACUACUAUUUAAAUUGUAAGUUGUAGGUAUACCUCAAAGAAGCCAAAAUAAGCAAUCCUAAAAGGGUGGGUACUCUUUUCCUCUUUCAGAGCACAAACCCUAACUCUCAAAAUGUUAUCUCCAAAUCCCUUCUACUUGAAUACUGAAAUUCUCCUUAUGAGUGUGUAUUUUUAUUGUUGGAUUUUUGUGCAAAUUAUGUUUUGUGAAGAAGAAAAGAAGACGGAGGGAGAUAAGUGAGGAACUACGGCGUUGGUUCUUUUUGCACAGGGAAGAAUUAGAACGAGAGAGAGAGAAGGGUAUACAGUUCUGAAUUGGAUAAAAAUAUAAUGGGUGGAUGGUGGGUUUUAUUUGAAAUAGGAAUUGGGUGGUGGGAUUUUACGUGGUCUCUUUUUUUUUAAGUUUGUUAAUUAAUUUUUUUUCCUUUUUCUUUUCUUUUUUUUUUCUUUCGUUGAUGAACCUUUUUUUUUUAAUAAAGCGGAUCAUUUCAAUCUUUCCCCCUUAAGAAAAUUCGUCCUCGAAUUUUAAGUCUUGUGCAUCACACUACCUUGGUUUCAAAGUCAUCUCUUCACCAAUUGUUCAUUGCCAGGGUUCUACCAUUAAACCAAGGUCCUUAGAAUGUAGGCAUCUCACCCUUUCUAUCCACUAUUCCUACCAUAAACUCCAUAUAAGAUAAAGGUUCAUCUAACAAUACAUUCUCAUUACAAACAACGAGGGAAGGAUCAUAGAGAUAUUUCUAAAGCAUAUAAACAUGAAACUUGGUGAGCUGUAUAAAAUUCGGUAGCGGUGUCAAUCGACAAUUCAUAGGGCCAACUACUCCCAUAUAUCAAAUGACCCAAUCAAUCAUGGACUCAUUUUCCCUCUUUACCAAACUGCACCACUGCUUUUAUCAGAAAAACACUUAAAACAUAUGAACACCAACUGCAAACUCAAAAGGGUGUUGCCUCCAAUCAACAUAAUACUUUUGUUUACCUUGACCUGUACCCAAAUGACCUAAACUAGUCUAACUUUCUCUAUUGCAUCUUGGAUAGGGUAUGGACAUACAAGUUUAGUUUCUCCAUAUUCAACCAAUCUAUCGAUUGCUACAUCCCUUACUAUACAAAGCCUCAAAUUGUACAAUAUUAAUGCUAGGCUAAUAGUUGCUAUUAUAAGCCAACUUCGUUAAAGACAAAUUAUGCUCUCAACUCCUUCUAAAGUCUAAAAACACGAGCACAAAACAUAUCUUCCGAGAUCUAAAUAAUCCUCUUAAAUCAGCCAUCAAUUUAAGGAUAGAAAGUUGUACCCAAAUUCAAAUGGGACCCCACAACAACUUUGAAAGUCUUCUAAAACAAUGCAUUCAAUUAAGCUCCUUGAUCUCAAAUUAUAAACAAGCUUACACCAUGCAAACAAACAAUCUCAACUAAGGUAAACCAUACAAUGUUGUAGUGUAAGUACUUUUAUAGGCGAAAGUGUUCAUGCUCAACCAAUUAAUCCAUAAUCACCGAUACAAAAUCAUAACUCAUUAUUUUCCAAAGCAAACCUCUCACCAAGUUCGUAACAACACCUUCUCACUUUCCAUAUGGUAUCUUAAUAGACUAAAGCAACAUAACUCGCUUUAAAGGCUCAACCUUCACUUGCUAACAUGCUAAACAUUCAGAAAUCAAUUUUCUAUGUCUUUCGUCAUUCUUUCCCAUAAAUAAAAUUUCUUCAUAUCCUAAUGCAUUUUAUUAAAACCCGGAUGUAUGAUUUAAAAAUAAUGAAAAACAUCCUCUAUUAUUUUCCUCCUCAUACUAGUAUUAGGCUCACACAACACAACCAACAUCAAAGUCAUAAAAUGUCAUCGAGAGUCUACCUUUAAACGUGGAACCUUUUCACCUUAGAAAUCCUCUACCACCUUCAUCACCUACGAAUCUUGACCUUGAUCAUAUUCAACAUCAUCAACCAAAAUAGAAUGAAUUUUUAGAUGAGCCAACAAUGAGUUGAAACAAGCAACCCAAACCAAACUCUAUUAUCAACAAGCUUCUAGUGUUAUUCCUUAUCCUUAGGAAUAUACAAGAAUAAUCAAUAAGUACAAUCACUAAAUAUUUCAAUAAUGAUUUAAAGAUGUAGCUCAUUAAAUCCAUAUAACAACAGUGGCAUCACUAAAUCCAAAAACAUGACUAAUAUCUCGUUAUGGUCACAACAUAUUCUGAAAGUUUUCUAUUAAAUUCUAUCCUUCUUGAUAUUCCUUUGAUGGUACCUAGAUCACAAGUCCUAUUUUCUUUUCUAACUAUUGAGCUCAUGCAAUCUAUUCGCCUAUUGUCUAUUGAUGAGUACAUCAAGAAAUUCAUCACAAAGUCGCACACUACAAGAAUUUCUUCUAUUUUUUCUUUCCAGCUGUUUGAGUAUCCUUUUACCCAAAGUCAAGUAUCCAUGACAACCUUUCCUUAAUAACCUUCUAACUUCGCCGCUGAAAUUAGAUUGCAUUGUUCCUAACUUCACUCUCUCUAAAUGAGAAAGAUGACCCUCUAGGUAAUUCAAACUUCACUACUUUGUCCUUGACCUUAACCACCAAAUACUUUACUGCUCUUCUAAGAUACUUCAUGAUCUUCUCAUCACAUUUCCUUCAAAGCAUCUAAGGGUAUAAUAACAAGAUUAAUAAUAAGUAUUAAGUAAUAUUAAAACUUUAAAACAAUAAUACCAAUGUGUUUUUUUUUGUGUGUAUAUUAAACAACACAUGUCUUUCUCAAUAUUCCCCAAAACAACGCGAUAGAAAUAUUAAGCCAAGAGUCAAUUUCACUAACAUGCUGAAACUAAUCCAAGGUAAUUACGUUUUCUAUAAGAGACAAGGCAACUUUAUGCCAACUGAUCCAACAAAAAUUGUAACAAUGAUCUUACACCACACAUCCAAACUCCCAUUUUUUAUAAACUCACCAUCUUCCUUCAUUUGAAGUUUCAAAGCCAAUUCAAAUUAGACUAACCUGGUUACAGAACUUAUCUUGAUUCUAUUCCCGAAGAUUAUGAAUGCCCAAAGCAUCAUUCGUGUCACAACCAAUUCCUAAGGCCAACUGCCACCAAGUGUUGUAAGGGUCAGAGAAAAUGCUAAAGACGCUCCUACUAAGGCUUAUCCACGACUAGAGGAAGUUGCACCACAAUCACAAGACAAUCCUCCAUAAUAUUACUUGUCUGACUGCGCUAAUAUCACACCCUACUAUCUCCAAAGAAAGCUACAUGAUGAUCUUUUGACAAGCAAAACAAGGUGUAGAUCUCAUGCAAAAAUGAAUUUGAGGAAAAAUGGAUUGUAAGGACCCCUUAAAUCUAGUCUAUGACUCCACAUAAAGUUUUAAGAUUAUCUACUAUAAUCAAUUUUCUCCAGCAGUUCAAACUUAUAAGCCAAGUCAUAUCAAACAAUUUAGAAGAAAAAGAUUUAUGAGUUCUAGGAAAAUUCGUUCACGUUAUCAGAGGCGAUCCAAUCGCUCACGUACCAUAAAGUCAUUAGAUCAAUCAUGUGCUACAAUCCUCCAACUGGAUGACAUUAACUCUACCGCCCUUCAGUGUGAGCAUCUUAAUGCUCUCUAUAGCUUCUCCAGAGCAUUAAUAAACCUUUGUGGAUUCUGCUCUGCACUAGUACUAGAAAAUUAGGAGAUUUAAGAUGUAUGUGACUAGUUAAUAUGACAUCAAUCUGUCUAGUGGCACCUACUUGUUGGUACUUUCCUCUAUCUAACCUCUAGUUGACGCUCAUAAAUUUUCUUAUGUGGGUUCCCUUGUUGCUGCCCAACAACCAGUCCAACACGUUAUUUCAACUAAUGUUAAAAUUCCUUCGUACCGAAUGUAAGCUCUGACAUCCUUGUAUUUCAUUACCUCAAUAUAAGCACGUUAAUAUUGGCUACAACAACGAGCAACCAGCGCCUACCGGCAAUGGUCCUUGGCCUAAACCAAAACGCCGACCACAACCUCCUAAAAGAGGGUCCUAAUAAGUUAACUCAUCAUAUGAUGAAAAUUCUAAUUUAGGGGGCAUCCCCACUGAACAAAGAAUAUUCAUGAAAUAUAUGACAUGACUCAGAAUACAGUGAAUGAGGAACGAACUCAAAUCACACAUUGGAAACAACUUUAGGACGCUCAUGAGACGUUAAUAGCAUCUUGAAAGUAAGUUGUGCCGCGGUUCACAAUUUACUAGCAAGAUUCCAUUAUCAUCUCAUGUCUGCAGCUAUUAGGACCUACAGCCAAAGCUCUGAUACCAACUUUGUCACGACCCAAAAUCCUAAGCCGUGACCGGCGCACAGACUAACACCCUAGUCUGGCAAGCCUCAGGUAGCGUUUGGUGACGGAACGGAACAUGUCAGAACAGAACGGAACGGGACAGAACAAGAUGGAACAUGACAAUAAUGUUCUAUGUGUUGUGUUUGGUAACUCCAAGUCAAUAGAACAGAAUCAUGAUUUUAAUUACAUAUAUAACCCUGCAUAUUUAAUAUUUGAUUAAGGAAAACAAAUUGAACUCAAUUGAACAUUUAGCAUAGAAACCGUUUGUUAUUGCUUACUUCAUGAAAUAAUCACUUAUUUCUUUAAAAUAAUCACUUAUAUAUUGUUUAAGUUGUUUCAGUAUGCUAUUGAAAAAAGCAGAAAUCUAAUUAUCUAUUUAAGCUAUUUUAAGUGCGUUUAUUUAGAUUAAAAAUAUUGAUUUUUAACUAUAAUUUUUUUAAGAGAUUUUGAGAAAAGCAUAAGUUGAUUCGUGUUCGACUACUCUAAUUAAAAUCACUUUUUUUUUACUCCCCUCAUCUAUCAUCAUAGAUUUUCAUUAUAAGCUAAAGUAACUGUUUCAAAUAAUUUGUUUUCAGCUUCAGCUGAAACAAACACAAAAAGUGAUUUUUCCAAAAUAAGUUGAAUUAAACGCAUUCUAAUUGACUCGUUUAUCAGUGCUUACAAAAACUGAUUUUACUUUUGAAAAAAUAAUUGAUUUUAUUUUAAUUAAGUUGAUUCGUGUUUGAUUACUCUAAUUAAAAUCACUUUUUUUUUAUCUCCUCUCAUCUAUCAUCAUAGGUUUUCAUGAUAAGCUAAAGUAACUGUUUCAAAUAAUUUGUUUUCAGCUUCAACUGAAACAAACACAAAAAGUGAUGUUUGAUUAAAAAUUGAUUUUUUGAUUUUAAAAGUGAUUUUUUGAUUAAAAAAGUGAUUUUUUUAUUUUAAAAGUGAUUUUUUGAUUAAAAAGUGAUUUUUCCAAAAUAAGUUGAAUCAAACGCACUCUAAUUGCCUCGUUUAUCAUUGCUUACAAAAAGUGAUUUUACUUUUGAAAAAAAUAAUUGAUUUUAUUUUAAGUGAUUUUUUUGAAAAAGUAGAUUUUUAUUUAACUUUGUCUACAAAUAUAAUAAGUGCUUUCAAUUUUAUAAGUGAUUUUAAACUGUUUAGAUACAUAAAAUUUCAAAUAUAAAUUAGGGGUAUUUUUGAACUUGCAAAAGUUUUAAGAGAGUGUUCCGUUCCGUUCUCUUCCGUUCCACCCUUUUUCAGGGAACCAAAGUGUCCCGUUCCUGGAGCCUUUUGUCCCGUUCCGUUCCAUCUUAAAAACACGACAAACACAGAACGGAACCCAUGUGUUCUGUUCCGUUCCCUUCCCACCUGUCUACCAAACGCUACCUCAAUCUCACAAAAUCAUAUUCCAAACUAUUUUCCAAAAUUAUACAUGUUUCUUUAUAUUUUAUAAUAUUUCAACAGAACCUCCUUUACAAAAUCAACAUUUCCAAAACAAUAAACCUGUCAUUCGGUUUUCAUCAUAACCAUAAUUCCAUAAAAACACAAAUUCCAAUUUCAUCACUACGGUACAAUUUCUGAAGUAAAAUAAUAAAUAAUGAUUCAGAAUCAAUCCACCUAAGACUCCCUAUAGCUGCAGAUAACUAGAAUCUAAUAGAAGACACCAAUUGAGCCACCAGCCAAAGGAGGCAUACCAAUAAAAUAAUCGAUCGACUUGAUUCUGACAUGAGCCUGCUACUUAGUGGCCUGAGAAUCUGUGGGGGAAAAAGAAUGAAUGGGGUAAGUCACAAAGACUUAGUGAGCAGUCAACAACCACCAUAAACAGGAAGGGGAAACAAACUAGGCACGAGUUUUUCGCUCUCAGCUCAAUAUAAACAAUUUAUAUCAUCAAUAAUACCAGUUUAAAUCAUUUCCACAAUGAACUUGACAAAAAAUCAUAAAUUCAUAAAUAACCAUUUCAAAUAAAUACAGUUAAAAUCAUGUCCAGAUAUGAAAAGCAUAAAACCAGAAAUAACUUUAAUAGGGUCACACAUGUAGAACCAUGAGGCGGCUCCAUCUCGCUGAUAGCCCUCUCCUCCUAAGGGAUGGCCUCUCCGAUAGGGGCGGCUCCAUCUAGCGGAUAACCCUUUCCUUUCUCAAGUCACAUCGUGUCAUCGGAGGAAGCUACAUCUCGUUGAUAGCCCUUUCCUCUUAAGGAUCAUCUUACCCAAGAGGCGGCUCCAUCUAACGGAUAGCCCUCUCCACCCGGAAUCAUGUCAUAUCUCAUCAAUCUCAUCGGGGGAAGCUUCAUCUCGUUGAUAGCCCUUUCCGUGCACUGACGGCUCCAUCUAACGGAUAGCCCUCUCCUCCCGGAAUCAAACUAGCUAGGUGCACCUAGGCCGUUACCUCCGUUAACGGCUACGGGGUUCUAUCAAGGAUCCCCAAAAUCGUUUUCUCAAACCAGUUCAAGUCUCGUCAAAAGUCUCAUAAUCAACUUUCCAAGUUCACAAUCUCAGUUUCACAUAAUUUCCAAAAUCAAAGCAAUAUAAAUUACUUUCUCAUGUCAGUUCAUAAUCAGAAUCAAAUAAACUUCAUAAAAUCAGCUUUCAGAGUUCAAGAAUGAUAGUCAAACAUAUAAAAACAUGUUUCCCCAAUUUAGAUAAAUAGACAAUAUAAUAAAGUAAUUAAAUCAGUUAUAUGACUGUUAAAAAUAUGGCAUAGCAGUUGAAAACCACUCAC
RNAcentral lists this long non-coding RNA (7542 nucleotides) under Lotus japonicus. Its description in RNAcentral is "long non-coding RNA (LJAP_LNC001464)". Lineage: Eukaryota; Viridiplantae; Streptophyta; Magnoliopsida; Fabales; Fabaceae. The record is from RNAcentral.